Long non-coding RNA from Salvia miltiorrhiza (redroot sage), 1686 nucleotides. RefSeq lists it as uncharacterized. The record is from RefSeq and is a predicted model, not a curated record. NCBI's taxonomy places the organism in Eukaryota, Viridiplantae, Streptophyta, Magnoliopsida, Lamiales, Lamiaceae. The transcript is spliced from 3 exons.
UAUAUAAUACGAUUAAGGAUUCCUGGCUUCUCCUUAAUCCGGGAUCCUAUGUGGCAUGUCUAAGAAUUCAAGAAUUAAAAUCCUUGCAAUUCUAGAGCUUCUAGCUCAAUUCUGUAUCGCUGACAUGGCAAUAUGUAUCCACAUCACUUAUUUUAUUUAUUUUAUUCUCAAUUUUAAAACACAACUCACGCCCCUCUUUUGCUCAAAGAAAAAGAAACUCACGCCUCUCUUCCUCACGCCUCUCUUCCUCACCCCAUCGAAGCCGCCCCUGAAACUCCAGGGAAAGUGUCGCCGGCGAGCCACGGCCAUGGCCACAGAUUCUCUCUCGACCCCCAUCUCCAUCUCUCAGUCCCUAAUCUCUCUCCUCUCUCCCUAACAAAGCCUAGAUCUCCAAAUCCUCACUGCCUCUUCGCGAUUUCCGGCGACCACGACAGCCAUGGCUGUCGCCUCCGGCGAUUCGCCCCAAGCUCAGCCCCGAUCUGCCACCUCGCCGCUCCCCUUUCCCCUUCACCGCCGUCCGCCCCGUCACCAAGUCUUUGCCAGAGAUCUGCUCGGUAACGAAAUCUGCUCCGAUCACUGCUGCACAAACGUCUCGGUGAUAACAUCGCCACUCCCGUUUCCCCUCCACCGCCAUCCGCCACCGUCGUCUCCGUCUGCCCUGUCACCAAGUCGCCGCCAGCGAUCUGCGCCUCUCCAUGGCUGAACUCAUUAAGGAAUGGUGAAGGGGUUAGGCUAAAUCUUACCUUUCGAGCAGCUGAAACCAUGGUAUGGCUUUGGCUGAAAAUGGUGAUCAACUAGGUGAUUGAUAGUAUUCUGUACAUAGCUGAUAGAGUAGGUGAUUGAUAGUAAGCGUAGGGAAAGUUGUGAGGUGACUAAUGGUGAAUAAAAUCCUUCCGUUGCUACCUGGUACUGGAUUUCUAAGAUAAUUUCUGGUCUUUCUGAUAUUUUUUGCUCUUUUCUGGGAAUUAAAUCUAUAAUUACAACUUGUGCUACAAGUUGUAAUUAAAUAAUGACUUUUAAAAUAAAAGAAGAAAAGAACUUGCUGAAUGUUCUAUCUGAUAUUAUUCAUGGUGUGUUAUUAGUCAAAUUGAGUUAGCAUGUAAAUCCAGUGUCUAAUGUUUGCUUUUCCACAAUCUACUAAUUAAAUUUUGCAGGCCAACAUCAUUCCCAUUAGUUAAUGGCAUUCAUGGUGAUUCUUCUAAGAUAAAAGGUUGGUAUAGAAACUGUAUUAUUAAUAUAUCUUACCAUCUGCACUUCUUCUAACUAUACUUAUGGGGUGUCUACAGUUCAGUAUCGGUAUCCGCUCCUUUUCGUCUGCUGGAAAUUGAGUAGAAAUGCAAUUACAUUGAUAAUCAACGGAAGUCGGCUUACUACUUAAUUGCAGCCUUCGUUGGCGAGAAAUUGUUUCCUCUCGCCUUUUAUUACCCGCAGAAGCUUCUCCAGCUGCAACUCAACCUUCUUUGGGGCCUCGAUCGCGUCCGCAAAGCUUGCCAUCUCUUCGGUGUGUGCAUUGUCCUCUUGGUUGGUUGUUGUUUUUGCUAAUGUACUGUGGCUCGAGUUUUAUAUGUUGUUUGUGCUUUGUUAUUAGCUGCAAACUUUUGAUUUUUUGUUGUUUUUUUAGUUUUCCCGAUGUAACCAGUCGUUAGUUGCGUAUUUUAAUUCAUUUUAAUGUGUGUUGUGGUGUUA